GGGAGCAGCUGGUGACUGGUGUCGCCCCUGGUCUUCAAAACCAGUGGGGGGCGGAAAGACCGUCCCCGGUGGGUUCGAUUCCCACAUGCUCCC
RNAcentral lists this transfer RNA (93 nucleotides) under Thermaerobacter marianensis DSM 12885. RNAcentral describes it as "Selenocysteine transfer RNA". It matches the Rfam family "Selenocysteine transfer RNA". RNAcentral also lists the same sequence under 1 other name. The record is from Rfam by way of RNAcentral. Lineage: Bacteria; Bacillati; Bacillota; Clostridia; Eubacteriales; Clostridiales Family XVII. Incertae Sedis.